This is an RNA transcript of Mytilus californianus (California mussel), 778 nucleotides long. It is a transcript of the gene named temptin-like, with no coding region annotated. The record is from RefSeq and is a predicted model, not a curated record. The transcript is spliced from 5 exons. NCBI's taxonomy places the organism in Eukaryota, Metazoa, Mollusca, Bivalvia, Mytilida, Mytilidae.
UAGUUUACCUGACAUGUUAGUUUCCGAUAACACUCCCAACAAGUGCAUGAAGAUGAUGUAUCCCGCUCACAUACUGGCACUUUGUAUUGUAAUUGUUAAUGUAUGCUGUUAUGAAAAACAUCAGAAACUAAUACCUAACGGAAAUAAUGUACCAAAUCCAUGUUCAAAAAACCAGAAGAGUAUUUGGAGAGCAGUAGGACAUUUUAAUCCCGACCAUGGAGGUGUAGAUAUAAAUUCCUUUGGAAAGGAUUUUAUGCUAUAUAACAAGACUUGGACUACAGAAUUAUGCCUUAUUGAUUCGGAUGGUGAUGGUAAGAUUAAUGGAGAAGAGCUAGGAGAUCCAAGCUGUGAUUGGACCCCAGGAAAAAAACCCAAAGGACCAGCAACAGAUCAUCCAGGUAUUUGUGAACCAGUUGACAGUGACAUGUGCAAACGACGUAAUCAAGGAUUUAAGCAAUGUCCGAAGUGAGCACCACCUAAUGUUCAGCCUGAUUUUCAGCCUUUGUUGCUUGUUAAAGUAUUUUAUAAACAUGAAGCAUUUUCUUGCAUCUCAACUUUCCUUGCUCUACUCAAAUAUGUGCUUCGCCGACUAUGAAUUGGAUAACUUGGAUCUAGUACUUUCAAAAGGAGAUGAUGGGUUAGGUCAAGUUUGUCUUGCCAAAAACAACUUUAAAGUUCACUUUAGACGAUUAUAUGAACUACGUUGAAUUAUUGUGUCAUUUUCAAUUUUUUAUCACCUUACAUUGAAACAAAAUGUUUCUAAAAAGCCUUAAGUUUA